CAACCACUACAAUCUGGAAUCUGGUAUGGGUUGAAGUAGCACCUCUCCCUGGCUAGGCUGCUGCUUCUUCUUAUAGGAUCCGUUGCAAUGGCCAACUGAGGUGUUAUUUCAACCCCUACCGGGCUCCAAUAGGGUUG
RNAcentral lists this microRNA precursor (137 nucleotides) under Picea abies (Norway spruce). RNAcentral's name for it is "miR11546e stem-loop (pab-MIR11546e)". Lineage: Eukaryota; Viridiplantae; Streptophyta; Pinopsida; Pinales; Pinaceae. The record is from miRBase by way of RNAcentral.